Callorhinus ursinus (northern fur seal) is the source of this 512-nucleotide long non-coding RNA. RefSeq lists it as uncharacterized. Lineage: Eukaryota; Metazoa; Chordata; Mammalia; Carnivora; Otariidae. The record is from RefSeq and is a predicted model, not a curated record.
UUUUCCAGGUGGUGAAAAAUAUUUUGUAUGGAAUUUCCCUCUUCCUAGCUCCAAAUAGGAUAAUAUGACAACUCCAAGGAAUUUAAAAGUAUAAAACCACAUCUGCCAAUAACAUCAGGAUGAACCAUUUAGGAUUUGGUUUUUUACAAGGCAGCAGCGCUAAAUGCCAUUGAUUCCCAGAAUGCACCGGAAAGGGAUUCGACUCCGGAAGAGGUCACGUGGUUGAGCUGGCCCUGCUGUCGCGGCUUUCUGACACCAUUUUUUAAAUGCUAUGUCACCUUUGACAGAACAUAUCCUAAUAACCCAAAGAGGUGUAAAACAGGAGACUUUGAGGGAGAGAGACUCUUGGGUAAAACCCCCAGUGGUAUUCAUCAGAGAGCAGCUCGGGUGAAGAGGCCCGGGUUUUGUUUCUCCUUCCCUAUCGUUUACCACGUAGGACAACAUUCUUCUCAUAAUGGCGCUCAAGUUUCUGGGUUGUUAAAAAGAAGCUUAUAAGAGCAAUUGAAAGUAAU